GACGAACCGUGCGAACGUUGUUCGGAAUCACUGGGCUUAAAGGGCGCGUAGGCGGGCUGCCAAGUCAGGGGUGAAAGCCCACGGCUCAACCGUGGAAGUGCCUUUGAUACUGGCGGCCUUGAGGGAGGUAGGGGCGUGCGGAACUUCCGGUGGAGCGGUGAAAUGCGUAGAUAUCGGAAGGAACACCGGUGGCGAAAGCGGCGCGCUGGACCUCUUCUGACGCUGAGGCGCGAAAGCCAGGGGAGCAAACGGG
RNAcentral lists this ribosomal RNA (253 nucleotides) under uncultured bacterium. Its description in RNAcentral is "partial 16S ribosomal RNA". It matches the Rfam family "Bacterial small subunit ribosomal RNA", at positions 524 to 776 of the family's 1533-position model. The record is from RNAcentral.